Molecule: ribosomal RNA, 213 nt
Filed under: Triticum aestivum (bread wheat)
Lineage: Eukaryota; Viridiplantae; Streptophyta; Magnoliopsida; Poales; Poaceae
Description: partial small subunit ribosomal RNA
Source: RNAcentral
AUGAAAAUAAUAAGUUGGAACUGCCGGGGGUUGGGGAAUGGCCAGGAAGUUCAAAGUCUCCUCAAGAUGGGGAGAAUGGAGAACCCCGAAGUUCUUUUUAUUUCUGAAACACGGCUGACCGAGAAGGAAUUGGACAGGUUCAGAUGGUCAUUGGGCCUAUCGAACAUGCUUGCAUGGGAUCUGGUCGGAAGGUGCAGGGGGAUUGCAUUGUUC